RNAcentral lists this ribosomal RNA (301 nucleotides) under uncultured bacterium. RNAcentral describes it as "partial 16S ribosomal RNA". It matches the Rfam family "Bacterial small subunit ribosomal RNA", at positions 509 to 807 of the family's 1533-position model. The record is from RNAcentral.
CAGUCGCCGCGGGAAUACGUAGGUGGCAAUCGUUGUCCGGAAUUAUUGGGCGUAAAGCGCGCGCAGGUGGUUUAAUAAGUCUGAUGUGAAAGCCCACGGCUCAACCGUGGAGGGUCAUUGGAAACUGUUAAACUUGAGUGCAGGAGAGAAAAGUGGAAUUCCUAGUGUAGCGGUGAAAUGCGUAGAGAUUAGGAGGAACACCAGUGGCGAAGGCGGCUUUUUGGCCUGUAACUGACACUGAGGCGCGAAAGCGUGGGGAGCAAACAGGAUUAGAUACCCCUGUAGUCCCUGUCUCUUAUAC